This 460-nucleotide ribosomal RNA is filed under the name uncultured bacterium. RNAcentral's name for it is "partial 16S ribosomal RNA". It matches the Rfam family "Bacterial small subunit ribosomal RNA", at positions 338 to 795 of the family's 1533-position model. The record is from RNAcentral.
CCUACGGGAGGCAGCAGUGAGGAAUAUUGGUCAAUGGGCUUACGCCUGAACCAGCGAAGUCGCGUGAGGGAAGACUGCCCUCUGGGUUGUAAACCUCUUUUGCCAGGGAGAAAAGCCGGCUACGUGUAGCCGGACUCCGAGCACCUGACGAAAAAGCAUCGGCUAACUUCGUGCCAGCAGCCGCGGUAAGACGGGGGAUGCGAGCGUUAUCCGGAUUUAUUGGGUUUAAAGGGGGCGUAGGCGGAAUGCCAAGUCAGCGGUAAAAUCGCGGGGCUCAACCUCGCUCCGCCGUUGAAACUGGCGUUCUUGAGUGGGCGAGAAGUAUGCGGAAUGCGUGGUGUAGCGGUGAAAUGCGUAGAUAUCACGCAGAACUCCGGUUGCGAAGGCAGCAUACCGGCGCCCAACUGACGCUGAGGCACGAAAGCGUGGGUAGCGAACAGGAUUAGAUACCCGGGUAGUC